GGGGAAUGGCUUUCUCUCUUUCUUUUUCUCUCACUUGGCUUUUGCCUCUCUUCAAAUGACUCUCUUGUGCUCUACUAAUCUGAACCAUCUCAUUUUAACCUAAUGAGACAUAAUGGACCACAAUAUUUGGGCCUAUUCUCCACAUAGGAAGGGAGCCUAAUAACCCAACAAAUCUCCCCCUCACAACUAUGUGGAGAUAUCCGCCAAACCGGCGAUCUCACAACAAACUUCAAACUUUCCUCUUGGCAAUGCCUUGGUCAUCAUAUCAGCACCAUUAUCAUCUGUAUGAACUUUAGCUAGUUCCACCAACU
RNAcentral lists this long non-coding RNA (311 nucleotides) under Vigna radiata. Its description in RNAcentral is "long non-coding RNA (VRAD_LNC010278)". The record is from RNAcentral. Lineage: Eukaryota; Viridiplantae; Streptophyta; Magnoliopsida; Fabales; Fabaceae.